This 253-nucleotide ribosomal RNA is filed under the name uncultured bacterium. RNAcentral describes it as "partial 16S ribosomal RNA". It matches the Rfam family "Bacterial small subunit ribosomal RNA", at positions 524 to 776 of the family's 1533-position model. The record is from RNAcentral.
UACGUAGGUGGCAAGCGUUGUCCGGAUUUACUGGGUGUAAAGGGCGUGUAGCCGGGCUGACAAGUCAGACGUGAAAUCCGGGGGCUCAACCCCCGAACUGCAUUUGAAACUGUUGGUCUUGAGUAUCGGAGAGGCAGGCGGAAUUCCUAGUGUAGCGGUGAAAUGCGUAGAUAUUAGGAGGAACACCAGUGGCGAAGGCGGCCUGCUGGACGACAACUGACGGUGAGGCGCGAAAGCGUGGGGAGCAAACAGG